RNAcentral lists this ribosomal RNA (427 nucleotides) under uncultured bacterium. RNAcentral describes it as "bacterial SSU rRNA". It matches the Rfam family "Bacterial small subunit ribosomal RNA", at positions 355 to 774 of the family's 1533-position model. The record is from RNAcentral.
UGGGGAAUUUUGGACAAUGGACGCAAGUCUGAUCCAGCCAUGCCGCGUGCGGGAAGAAGGCCUUCGGGUUGUAAAGCUCUUUUGUCAGGGAAGAAACGGUGAGGGCUAAUAUCCUUUGCUAAUGACGGUACCUGAAGAAUAAGCACCGGCUAACUACGUGCCAGCAGCCGCGGUAAUACGUAGGGUGCGAGCGUUAAUCGGAAUUACUGGGCGUAAAGCGUGCGCAGGCGGUUAUGUAAGACAGAUGUGAAAUCCCCGGGCUCAACCUGGGAACUGCAUUUGUGACUGCAUGGCUAGAGUACGGUAGAGGGGGAUGGAAUUCCGCGUGUAGCAGUGAAAUGCGUAGAUAUGCGGAGGAACACCGAUGGCGAAGGCAAUCCCCUGGACCUGUACUGACGCUCAUGCACGAAAGCGUGGGGAGCAAACA